GAUGAACGCUGGCGGCGUGCCUAAUACAUGCAAGUCGAGCGAACGGACGAGAAGCUUGCUUUUCUGAUGUUAGCGGCGGACGGGUGAGUAACACGUGGAUAACCUACCUAUAAGACUGGGAUAACUUCGGGAAACCGGAGCUAAUACCGGAUAAUAUUUUGAACCGCAUGGUUCAAAAGUGAAAGACGGUCUUGCUGUCACUUAUAGAUGGAUCCGCGCUGCAUUAGCUAGUUGGUAAGGUAACGGCUUACCAAGGCAACGAUGCAUAGCCGACCUGAGAGGGUGAUCGGCCACACUGGAACUGAGACACGGUCCAGACUCCUACGGGAGGCAGCAGUAGGGAAUCUUCCGCAAUGGGCGAAAGCCUGACGGAGCAACGCCGCGUGAGUGAUGAAGGUCUUCGGAUCGUAAAACUCUGUUAUUAGGGAAGAACAUAUGUGUAAGUAACUGUGCACAUCUUGACGGUACCUAAUCAGAAAGCCACGGCUAACUACGUGCCAGCAGCCGCGGUAAUACGUAGGUGGCAAGCGUUAUCCGGAAUUAUUGGGCGUAAAGCGCGCGUAGGCGGUUUUUUAAGUCUGAUGUGAAAGCCCACGGCUCAACCGUGGAGGGUCAUUGGAAACUGGAAAACUUGAGUGCAGAAGAGGAAAGUGGAAUUCCAUGUGUAGCGGUGAAAUGCGCAGAGAUGUGGAGGAACACCAGUGGCGAAGGCGACUUUCUGGUCUGUAACUGACGCUGAUGUGCGAAAGCGUGGGGAUCAAACAGGAUUAGAUACCCUGGUAGUCCACGCCGUAAACGAUGAGUGCUAAGUGUUAGGGGGUUUCCGCCCCUUAGUGCUGCAGCUAACGCAUUAAGCACUCCGCCUGGGGAGUACGACCGCAAGGUUGAAACUCAAAGGAAUUGACGGGGGCCCGCACAAGCGGUGGAGCAUGUGGUUUAAUUCGAAGCAACGCGAAGAACCUUACCAAAUCUUGACAUCCUUUGACAACUCUAGAGAUAGAGCCUUCCCCUUCGGGGGACAAAGUGACAGGUGGUGCAUGGUUGUCGUCAGCUCGUGUCGUGAGAUGUUGGGUUAAGUCCCGCAACGAGCGCAACCCUUAAGCUUAGUUGCCAUCAUUAAGUUGGGCACUCUAAGUUGACUGCCGGUGACAAACCGGAGGAAGGUGGGGAUGACGUCAAAUCAUCAUGCCCCUUAUGAUUUGGGCUACACACGUGCUACAAUGGACAAUACAAAGGGCAGCGAAACCGCGAGGUCAAGCAAAUCCCAUAAAGUUGUUCUCAGUUCGGAUUGUAGUCUGCAACUCGACUACAUGAAGCUGGAAUCGCUAGUAAUCGUAGAUCAGCAUGCUAUGGUGAAUACGUUCCCGGGUCU
RNAcentral lists this ribosomal RNA (1372 nucleotides) under uncultured bacterium. RNAcentral describes it as "bacterial SSU rRNA". It matches the Rfam family "Bacterial small subunit ribosomal RNA", at positions 28 to 1381 of the family's 1533-position model. The record is from RNAcentral.